CCUUCCAGCCUCCGGCACCCUGAGAACUGGGUGUGAGUGCUGAUUUCUCCACCUGUCUUAUUUCUUAAUAUCUGCAACCAGCUCAGAGCCAGGGAUAAGUCAAGACUCCACCAGCCCAUGUAUGGCUGCCCGGCUGCCCCCAGCCUUGCCCUCAGGUGGGUCACAGCUUGCUAUUUUUUUCCCACUUGGGUAAAAACUGCCUGACUUUCUUGCCUUGAGCUUCUCAUGGCAUCUGCCUAGAAUCCUUCCCAACUUUAUGAAAUUUGAAAACGUCUUCCUUCUGAGAUCUUUUUUCUUUUCUUUUCUUUCCUUUUGUUUUAUUUAUUUAUUUGUUUGUUUAUUUAUUUAUUGAGAAGGAGUCUUGCUCUGUUGCCAGGCUGGAGUGCAGUGGCGCAAUCUCGGCUCACUGCAAUCUCCGCCUCCUGGGUUCAAGCGAUUCCCCUGCCUCAGCCUCCCGAGUAGCUGGGACUACAGGUGUGCACCACCACGCCUGGCUCAUUUUUUUUGUAUUUUAGUAGAGACGGGGUUUCACCAUGUUGGCCAGGAUGGUCUCAAUCUGCUAACUUCGUGAUCCGCCCGCCUCAGCCUCCCAAAGUGCUGGGAUUACAGGCGUGAGCCACUGCACCUGGCCUUCCUUCUGAGAUCUCAAACCUCACUGACCUCAUAGGGCGUGGGCUACAUAAACACCCAUGUUCCCUGUAUUCUUCAACCAACCCACACCAGAAUUUUGUGAUGGCAUCUUCAUACCUCUUUUAUGGAUGGCAGGAUGUUCUACUGCAGGAGAAUGUCCCAGGCCCCAAACAAGGAAGGUCUGCUGGUGAACUAAACUGUCUCUUCCUUCCCAGAUGGAGACUUGGUACUUAAAAGAAUGGCUUUUGGCUCCUGUAACUGAUAACACUCAAGGCUGGGAUCAAAGUGGGUGGCAAGCUAUUGCGUGCACUCCCCUGUACACCAAGCUGCAGUAGGAAGAGGCACGGGUGGGGCUGUUGGGUUCUCAGCAGGAGGCUGAGCUCCAGGCUGACCUAGAACCAGCCCCGCUACUGGGCAGAGAGAUGGGAACCUCUCACCUGCCCUGAAAGUUACAGCUUUAUUAGGAAAAACUACUUAUUUCUGACAACCUAUGCCAGGCCAGAAUUCCAAGCUCUGCAAAGACAAAAUAUUUUUUGACUGAACAUGCCCAUUUCAGACCUUUCAUAAAGAACUUCUUUAUAGUACUAAGUGCCAGUUAAGGAUUUCCUAAAUUCCUUUGUCUAUCUCCCCAGUAACCAAAAAGAGAAUAUUUCUAGUAGACUUGGGAGACUUCAAAAUAACGUGGUCAACAAACAGGAGCAGGGGCUUAAAACCCAUUAUCCUCAAUGGAACACUGGCUGAUAAAAUCCCCUACCUUCCAAAAUUAACAACAAAUCUGUCUUUCUGUUCAGUUCUUCCCCGAGGGCAUGUCCUGUUGAGAGCCGGUUUCACCUGUGCAGUGUGGCCUGAUGGCCCAGCACCCAGGAGCUCUGCGCACCCUGCCGCCAUGGGCCAUCCGUCCCCAGACCUCUUCCCACAGGGUCACUGUGGUCCACCGUCCUGCCCUCGGGGAAUCUCAGCCUCCCUCUCACAGGCCCCGCCCACAGACUCAUUCACUGAUGCCAUCGCUGGACCCAAGUCAGUCAGAUGAAGAGCAGGAUGGUGUCAGAGCCUCGACCUCGGGAAGCACAGGAUGAGAACAAUGCAGCUGCCUCCCCAGGCCGUCAACCCCAGCACGGAAAACUCACGCUGGUCCUCACUCCAGCCUGAACGCUCCUGCUGAGGCCAGCUCUGCUCUGUCCCAUUCUGUCAUCAUUAAAGAGAGAAGGGAUGGCCACAUCUACCUGGAAAAACCACUUCCUCCUCUGAACACAGCUCUCAUCUGGAGCCCCGACGUGUCAUAUUCCUCCACCUUCCUGGAGGGAGGAAGUGCCCCAGUAGGCUGACAGCUGAGCUUUAAUUCUGCUCCACAGCCAAUCCAGGUUUUCUCAAUACUAUCUCUGUGGAAAAGUGCAUAAAACAGCAAGAAUAAUUGGCAUAAAUGAGACAAAUGUAACCCAGAAGCUUAGUCCCAAAAUGCACACUGAAAGUAAAUUCAUAAAAAUAUAAAUGAAAGCAAGUUUUCUUUAUAUUUAAGUAUAACAAAGCUACCUAUUGAUAAAUGGGGCCUUCUCCACACCCAGGUCCAGGACUAUGUUCCUUGCCUUAUUUUUUCCUAUAAGGCUUACCACCUUUAAAUGAAGCAAAAACAAAUGAAUCAAUAAAUCAUAUAAUUAACUUUUAUUGUAUUUACUGCCUUCAAUCGCUAGAAUGUAAGUUCUCCUGAAUACAAGGAAUGUUCACAGUAUUGUUUAUUUGUUAUUUCCCUGGGUCCCAGAACAGUUUCUGGCAUGUAAUACAGUCUCAAAAAUAUUUGCUGAAUGAAUGAAAGUUUAUUCUAUUAAGCAAACUGUUAUCUCUGGAUGAUAAAUGUCAUGUCACUCCUCGACCUCAAAUCUUUCCAUAGAUUCCAUCACUUCCAGGACAUAGUCCGUAUUAGCGAGGCAUACGUGCCCUUCGCCAUGUGGUCCCGAGCAUCUUCCUGAGUCUUUCCUAAAUCCUACACAUCCCCCUGGAGGCCAAAAUGCCUCUCAGGCAUACCAUGGCUUCCCAUCACUGCACCUUCAUGUACACGGUUCCUCCUGCCUAGAAUGACUUGCUCCUCAUUCCCUUGCGUGACAAAUGCCUACUGACCUUUUAGCAAAAAACAAAAACAGAAAAACCCUUCGCCAAGACUGUGAAGCCUUCUCCAGUAUUCCCAUCCCCAUCCAGGAACUGAGUACCACCGCUUCCAUGUUCCCAUGGCAACCCGCGCAUCCCCCAACACAGUGCUAAUCACCUUGCUGUCAUUGCUUGUCUCUUUGCUCACCCACGUCAUUAUCUUUGCAUCCCCAGGGGCCAGCACAGUAGGUGGCUAAUAGUUGCUUCAACUUAAAUGGACUCAAAUGCGCUAAAGGGAGGGGAAAAGAGAAGUCAGUGCACUUUGGGGCUGAGUUUUGUUUCUUUCACUUGUACCUGAUAUCUGUGCUCCUGUCACAGACGUCCACACAGACACACAAGCUAAAGAAGAAGAUGGACAAGAAUCAGCACACACUUUGCUCCUCUGGUUUCACCUUGAACCAGAGGGCCCAUUAGUCGUGUAAAGCCAUUAAAUAUUACAGCUGUAUAAAUCACACAAACCAGCAUUUCUGCCUCUCUCCACUAAGUGUCCAAAUCAGUAGCCAAUAAAACACUGGAAGUUUUUUUUUUUCUUUCUUUUUUUUCUUUGAGAUGGAGUUUCACUCUCGUCGCCCAGGCUGGAGUGCAAUGGUGCAAUCUUGGCUCAUUGCAACCUCUACCUCCCAGGUUCAAGUGAUUCUCCUGUCUCAGCCUCCUGAGUAGCUAGGAUUACAGGCACAUGCCACCACGCCCGGCUGAUUUUUGUAUUUUUAGUAGAGACAGGGUUUCAUCAUAUUGGUCAGGCUAGUCUCAAACUCCUGACCUCAGGAGAUCCACCUGCCUUCGUCUCCCAAAGUGCUGGGAUUACACGCAUGAGCCAUCGCACCAGGCCUAACACUGGAAGAUGUUUUAAGUAUAUAAGUUUCUUGUACAGUGAAAAUUAUACACACGUGAUACAAAGAAAUCAUAAAAUUUCAAUGAACACAGGUUGCCCAUGACAUAAAGGACAUGUGUGAAAGAAACGUGAACAGGGCUUUCUAUAACUCUUCAGGUGCACACAUGGGGAGCAGCCAAGGAUUUCUGCAGAAAAAUUCACUCCAGAGGUCAGCAGCUAGAAGCACAAAUGGAGAGUGAGUGAGCACGAGCGCCUCGUGGACUCAGCCCUCCCAGGUACGGUACUGGAAGAUGCUCAAGACACAGCACAGUGAGAAAUGUAGUAAAUGGGGUUCUUCUUUAGUCUUUUUUUUUUUUUGAGACAGAGUCUCGCUCUGUCACCCAGGUUGGAGUGCAAUGGCGCAAUCUUGGUUUACUGCAACCUCUGCCUCCCGGGUUCAAGAGAUUCUCUUGCCUCAGCUUCCUAAGUAGCUAGGAUUACAGGAGCCCGCCACCAUGCCUGGCUAAUUUUUGUAUUUUUAGUAGAGACAGAGUUUCUCCAUGUUGGCCAGGCUGGUCUCAAACUCCCAAACUCAGGUGAUCUGCCCUCCUCAGCCUCCCAAAGUGCUGGGAUUACAGGCAUGAGCCACCACGCCCUGCCAAGCCACCAAGCCCGGCCUUCUUUAGUCUUAAAAUUAGAAACUUGUUCCCUUAAAGGCCAAAAAUGUUCAGAGUUUUCUAGAAGUGGUGGCUCAUCAUGAUUACAUCAAUAUUAAGGAAAUACAGUAAAGGCUUCUGGACACCAGUGGUGUGGCAGGCAUUCAUUCACCCAGGCUCAAUGCAGGCUAAGUUGUGCCCAGCCUGAGAGGACUGCCAGGAUUAACCCAGAGCCUGCUAGACUCCCCAGGGAGUUGCUACCAGCUCCAGUGCCACACUCCUUCCCAACACCAGCUUUCCGCCUCUGCUAGUUGGAGAGCAUGUCACCAAGGUUGAGCGGCAAGCAGCUACAGCCCACAGCCUGGCACAGCACAUGGCACUAUGAAGGCUGGAGCAAGGCUUGCUGAGACAGAAGAGGAAAAAACAGAUCUGUUGCUGGAGAUAUGCAGAGAGAUAAACAGAAAGCAGAAAGUAUAGUUUUAAAUUUGGUGAUGGUGUUGGUUUGGUUUUGUUUUUUGAGACAGAGUCUCACUCUGCCACCCAGGCUGGAGUGUAGUGAUGUGAUCGUGGCUCACUGCAGCCUCCAACACCUGGGCUCAAGCCAUCCUCCCGCCUCAGCCUCCCGAGUAGCUGGGACUACAGGCACAGGCCAUCACACUUGGCCUUUUUUUUUUUUUUUGGUAGAGAUGGGGGUCUCAAUAUGUUACCUAGGCUGGUCUUGAACUCCUGGCCUCAAGUGAUCCUCCCACCUUCACCUCCCAAAGUGCUAGGAUUAUAGGCAUGAGCAACUGCACCUGGCCUUACUGGUUUUUAACAAGCAUAUAUUUGCAGGAAUAUCUCUCUUUAUUUGCAAGUGGCAAUGACUAAGCCUUAUUUAGGCUAGACAGAGUAUUUCUCCGGAUUUGGGGCUGAAGCUCACAUCACCAUCUCUCUCUGUCUAGUCUUCUAGUCUUCUCUCUGUCUAGUCUCCCCUGCAGCUCUGACCUCCCACAGUGUAAGCCCAUGUGACAUGUGCACUGAGCUUCUUGCUCCAUAAUCAUGAAUGUUCAGUGACCAAAGGAAUGGCACAAUAAUGGAAUGAAUCCGAGAAACACAUAUUGGCCAAAAAUUGCUAUUAAUUCAGUAAUACUUAGAUAAACGGUAACUGACCCCUCACAACAGAAAUUAACGUAUUUGAAACAGAGCUCCUCCCCGGGGGAGUUCCGUAACUGGUGUGUAAUGAGCAUCAGAAGCAUGGGGUAGCCCUUCAGUAGGAGACUAGGCACAGGUCUAAGGAGUCAGUGACUGCAGCAUAGGCACGGCAGGGGCCCCAAGGCUGCAGGUGCAGCGAGGACUCCUGCCCACCCCAGCCCCAGGCCCGUCCCCCAGGCUAGCUUUCUGGCACUCUGAAGGGCACGUUUUUUCCUGCAGGGGACCCAGUUUGUAGGAAUACCUGUAUUUCUGCCUCCUCUAAGUGUCCACGGUAUCUUUUAAUUCUACAAACGGCACUUAGGGAAACAACAGGGCGGUGGGUGGGGGGCAGGGGGAACUCAGGAGAAGAAUGUCUACAAAACGCUGGGAGGCAGAAGUAAGGGGCAGCCACGGGUGCCUUCUGACGCGUGAAGGCCAGAAGCUUCUAUUCUCGGCUACCAGAUGCCUAGGGAGACUCAGGGAACCCUGAGGACUCCCAGGCAGGGCAGGGAUGGGACUGGAUGCAGCAGCCGCCAGGGCUCUUUGCCAUGACCUUAGAGGAGGAAGUGGGGACUCAGAAACGGAAAUGAGCACAGGUCACCUGGGGGAGGGCUGGGAGGCCACCCUGCAUGCUCACCUCCUUGCCUGGCACACCCAGCUGCAGUGAGCGGGUGAUGGCCUGAUGGAGCUGCAGCCUCCACAGACCCAGGGAGAGGGGUGGAAGCCAGGUAGGCCUCCUAAUUCCACACCCCUUGCCUACCACUGGCUCCCACACAGCCCAGGACACGAAUGAUCUGGAAAUAAGAGUCAAACUAUACAAAACUAUUCCCACACAGGCCCAGAACCAAGCGCCCAUGGACACCCCUACACGGGCAGCAAGGGCUGGAACCGGCAGCCUGGUGGACAUCCGCCCUGCAGGGCUCUCCCUCGCAGAGACUGCAGAAGAGGGUGUGCAGUGCUCAGCGCGGAAGGAUGUUCUCCCUGCUUUUAAGGAGCCGUGACUAUUUUGCUCAGCGUCCCUGGCGUGCCUUUCUCUGUACAAAAAGGAGACUUAGAGGCUUCCCCAUCCCAUUACCACAGCUGGGCGGCUUCUUGCAUGAGGGCACCUUGCUGAACUAAGUCACCCCAAGCUACCCUAGGCUCCCUGUGCACUGAGAUGCUGAGUCCUGAGGUGCCUUCCAGCACCAGUGAAUGGGACUAAAGUCUUCUGCAGUGUCGCGACCGUUCUGAAGUGAGUAUUCUGUGGUCAUUUGUUACCCUCUGUGAAGCCCAGGAAGCAGGGAUUCAGGGCUGACCAGGGACCACUUUGUUCUCUGCCCAUGCAUGGAAGGUCUGCACUUGGGCCCCAAAGCCUGAGUAAAGUUUCACCGUGAACUUCUUCCAGCAGGAUAAACAGUAGGGUUCAGUACUGAGGGUCUCCAGUUUAAACCCUGAUUCCACUACAAAAUAAAUGCUAGACUGGGCCACAUAUUUAAGCUGUGUUUUCCUUAUGCUUAAAAUGGCAGUAAGAUUCCUUCCAGAGGCCAUGCAGGGAGAUAAUGCCCACAGAACGCUCAGAGUGGGGCUUGGCAGAGACAGGGCUAGACAGGGGCUGUUAUUUAGUGCUGGCAUCUUUUAUUGGUGGCGAUGUUAUUUUAUUUUCUAUGAUUAUGUAAUUUCCUCCUUAUAAUCUCACCCUUGUUGCUUAUCUUAAGAGUGAUGUUUCAGGAGCAACAGCAUCAAUGUAGUGUUUGAUAUUCUGGACAAUCUAACACAAGCAAUUUCUAAUUCAUAAUCCACUAUUUGUAUUUGUUGAUUAUUUGUUUAUAAUAAAGAAAGCAAUGCUUUGUCAGUUUUCCACAAUCUGCCACCAACCUCAGAUAUGCUUUCAUGAAGCUCAUCUUCAAUUAAGGCCCGUGUGCUUUAUUUUUGUGAAAAAUGGAGAUGUGAAGACAUUCUGUGCUCUGCUAGGCUGUGUCCUGAGAACCCCCCUUUUAAAAAGGUUCUCAGUAUUGUAGGUGUCACUUUUUUCCAUUAUAAAUCACAAAAUGUAGUAGCCAGUUAACAAGACACAGGUGUUGCUCCCCUGAAAGUGCCUGCAGAAUGGUGCCGAGGUCCUCUCCUCACCCAUAGCUCUUGGCAUGAUUUAUUCCUGCUGCACGCCUUCCGGGAGGUCCACCAGGCUCACGUCUGUGUCUGUGGAGGUGUGUGUGAACAUGUGCACGUGAGGGUACAUCCAGUCUUCUACCAGCUAAUACGUCAGAGACCACAUAAUGUUAGGCUGGAAGAGACCCUAAAGGUUAUAUAAACCAAUUCCCUUAUUUUAGAGCUGAGAAAUUUCAGGUGCAAAGAAGGGAGAGGCUAUAACAUGGUGGCACUAGAAUAAGACUGCCGGGUUUGAAUCCUGGUGCAACUACUUAUUACCUGUGUGAUCUUGGGAAAGUGACUUAACCUUUCUGGGUCACAGUUUGGAUACCUAUAAACGGCAGAUAUUAACAGUCUCUAUUUGUGUGGAUAUUUUAACAAUAAAAUUAAAUCAUUCACGUAAAGAACUUAAAAGACUCUCAGAUAGGUUGUGGUGAGCUAUGAUUGUACCACUGCACCCCAGCCUCCUGUAGCCUGGGCAAAGGAGCAAGAUUGUCUCUAAAAAAUAAAAAAAAUAAAAAUCUCCAAGAUAGGUAUCAGGUCUGCAAAAGUUUGGACCUAAUCAUGAUCCAAAACUAUGGCUUGAUGACUUCCAAAUUUAUUGCUUCCUUUUUUGGAUGAUCAUUUAUAUGGCACAAUAUGUUGUAAAAUGACACAAAAAUUAACAUUAACGAGCAUACCUCUGGGUUGUAGAUGUCUACGUACAGAUGUCCUUGUCCCAAAACCUAUGUGGAUCCCCAACUGCAUAGAUGCCAUUAUAGCAAAUAAUGUUCCCAAUAAAAUGCAGCAAAGUAUAACUAAAAAUUUAAGGAACUCCUUCAGACCCUUAAUGAUUCUAUAAAUAUAGCCCUAAGGUCAUUUGUAAAGCCAAGCAAAUACAUUCCAAUUGAAGCACUCACCGCAAGUUUUCAUCAUUGGUGAUAAAAGUACAUGAAGUAUUCUGUGUCCUAGAAUCAAGCCACCACUAAAUUCAAUCAUCUAUGUAUUCAUUUAUAUAAAAUCUCUAUUUCCUGGUUUUCAGUCCCUAAUGCACAAAGAUUUUAAAGGAGGUGAGGCUGGGCUGAAAGCUUCCCAAGGGUGGGAACCAGGUGUGGCGGCUUAGCUUCUAUUCUCUGGAGCAAUGCUUGGAUCUCCAUAGGCACUUGCAAAUAUUUUGGAAUGAAUGUAGACUGAAUAAAUAAAUGCUUCAGAAACCAAACUUGCAAGCAGUGCCAGCAAAUCAUAGCUCAAAAUAUUUGUUCAUCAGCUGUUGUUCAAAACUUUGAACUUAGCACACCAAAAAUGGUUUAUGUGUCACAACAUGCAAUGUGCCAAAGUGCAGGUUGGUCGAAAGUUGAACACAUAAAACCCAAGGGCUGUCUACAGCAACAGGGCCUGCAAUGGAAUAAAGACCCAGAAGCCAACAGCAGCGAGGCCGGAGACACAGAAAACACAACCAGAGUCUUCAGGGCAGCAACAGGAGAUGCAGCUUUAAGGGUCCAUCAGGCAGGAAGAACGACCCGGAAGAGGCUUGCCUCAGGCCAGACCCCAUGGUAUGAACUUGCAAGUCUCAGGGGCGAGGCAGAUCAAAGGACUUUGGGUCCCUGGAACCAUGAGAGGCUCCCUAUAAGGAUGGCGCCCAGCCAGGCCCUGAAGGCAGGUGACCAGAAGGGGUGGCAGUGUAGAGCCCUGCCCAGGUGGAGGGGGUACAGAGGAGUUCACUUCUGGCACAACCAGGGUUGAGUUGGGAGUUGGAAGAGAGCCUAAUUGAGGAGGAAGCUACAGAGGGAGAAAGGAGCCAGCCUGGGAGGGCCUCAGAGGGCGGGUGGGGAGCGGGAGCUCCAGGGCUCAGUGCGGGUGCAGUGCUGCUGAGCACCUUAAACAGCCCAGCCUCCAGCACUGUCAGCACCUUAAACGAGAUGUGAGCCAUGUUGCUGGGGAAGCCUCCCACCUCCGGGUCCUCACUUCCUCCGUGGAUAAGUGGUGUCUACCAAUAGAAACCUGUGCCCAGUGGUUACCAGGGUUUUCAUAUGGCAAAAUGUAUAUAGCAAAGAAGGUAGAUAAAAAGAAACACACACACACAAACCACACACACACACAACACACACACACAUUUACCUACAAUAAACUGAUUGAGCAAAAAGGAAUACUGACAUCUCCAGGCCACUGUAAGGGAGCAUGAUUAUGUAGUUUGAAAAACAGCAAACUGGCUGGGCGUGGUGGCUCACGCCUGUAAUCCCAGCACUUUGGGAGGCCGAGAUGGGCGGAUCACUAGGUCAGGAGAUCGAGACCAUCCUGGCUAACACGGUGAAACCCCGUCUCUACUAAAA
RNAcentral lists this long non-coding RNA (9839 nucleotides) under Homo sapiens (human). Its description in RNAcentral is "non-protein coding LDLRAD4-AS1:3". The record is from RNAcentral. Lineage: Eukaryota; Metazoa; Chordata; Mammalia; Primates; Hominidae.